This 293-nucleotide ribosomal RNA is filed under the name Acinetobacter baumannii OIFC189. Its description in RNAcentral is "partial 16S ribosomal RNA". It matches the Rfam family "Bacterial small subunit ribosomal RNA", at positions 1190 to 1482 of the family's 1533-position model. The record is from RNAcentral. Lineage: Bacteria; Pseudomonadati; Pseudomonadota; Gammaproteobacteria; Moraxellales; Moraxellaceae.
UCAUCAUGGCCCUUACGGCCAGGGCUACACACGUGCUACAAUGGUCGGUACAAAGGGUUGCUACACAGCGAUGUGAUGCUAAUCUCAAAAAGCCGAUCGUAGUCCGGAUUGGAGUCUGCAACUCGACUCCAUGAAGUCGGAAUCGCUAGUAAUCGCGGAUCAGAAUGCCGCGGUGAAUACGUUCCCGGGCCUUGUACACACCGCCCGUCACACCAUGGGAGUUUGUUGCACCAGAAGUAGCUAGCCUAACUGCAAAGAGGGCGGUUACCACGGUGUGGCCGAUGACUGGGGUG